This 69-nucleotide transfer RNA is filed under the name Ambystoma talpoideum (mole salamander). RNAcentral's name for it is "tRNA-Gly". Lineage: Eukaryota; Metazoa; Chordata; Amphibia; Caudata; Ambystomatidae. The record is from RNAcentral.
AUCUUUUUAGUAUAAUAAAUACUUAUGACUUCCAAUCAUUUAAUCUUAGCUGAAACCUAAGAAAAGAUA